GUAAUAGGACAGAAAUAAACUUUUACAUGCCUCGAUUUUUUUUUUUUUAAUCGCAGAUUUUAUCCCAUCCUGGGGCAGUUUGCUGUGUCUUCUCUUGAAUCAGCAGGAAGUCAUUUUAUUCACGCAUCCCUGCCCAGCACGCCGCACACUAGGUGCUCGGUGCGUGUCGGUGCACUGGGUUCUCUUGGGCCAACAUUUAUGCCCGGUGCUGUUUGUGCUAAGGCCUCACACGCACUCACUCCUUGAAGGUGCUGAUACCGUCUUGCAGCCCCUUGGCCUUCUGCAUGUCUGCUCUGCUCACACCUGUUCUCUGAGCCCAGGACCUGCGGGGCGCUGGGGAAAUCCUGCGUGGUCCACUCAUUGGUUCGUGUGCCCCCAGCCAGACCAUGCCCCGUUGGAGGAGAAAACUCCAGAAGGCUGAGUAGCUGUCUUAUCCAGAAAGAAUAUGACCAUGAGGAAAAUCAAGAUCUUUGUGUUGGAAGGCACUCAAGAGAUUAUCUUGAGCAACUACUGCCUUUGAGUUGGAAAACAAGACAAGGAUGGUCAGUCACCACUUCAAUCAAUGUUAUACUGGAAGUUCUAUGCAUCUCAAUAAAGAAAAAAAAAACAUAAGGGUAAGAUUAAGAAAAAGAGAAACAAACUUUAAAUAUGUACAAAUAAUGUUAUAUGAAUAAAAAUCCAAGAGUCUACUAAUAUUAUUAGACUAGUAAGAAAGUUUUGCAAGAUUGCUGGGUAUAAAAUUAAAAUAACCAAAAUGAAUUUUUUAAGUACAUGGACAGUAGCAUGAGAAAAUUAAAUUUUUAAAAGAGUGAUCAUUUACAUUUGCAACAGAAAUGAGGAAUUUAUGAAUGAGUCUAACAAAAUGUUAGACUUUUUUUUUUUCAGAAAAUGAGGAAUUAAGCAGAAAUUUUAUUUCCAAACUCAUCAAAGAUUAUUACAAACACAAAUAAAAUAUCCUUUUAAAAGUGUCCUGAAUUAAAUCAAAGGCACAUCAUUAAAGUAAAACAUUUGUGACAUUAAAAAUUCAUUUAGGUUGUAGUAUUUUCCAUUAUUUUGUUUUUAAUCAUUUGCAAUGUUCUGAAGAUCACAUUGAAACAUCUUUUUUUGAAGACAUGAAAUAAUGUAGUUAGGUUUUGUUUUUUUUUGUUUGUUUGUUUGUUUUAAGUACAACCACAACUAUAAAGUAGAGGAGCUUAAGACAAAGAGCAAAUCUGCUUCAUACACAGGAUGGGGCAAUCUAAUAUACAACACAACAUGAAUCUUCCCAAACAAGUUUGCUUGGAAACAGCUCCCAUGCUUAGUGUUAACAAAUAAAACGAUCUCAUUUAGAAAAAUCAGGGCACCAUUUGACUAAUAAAGCCUAUUCUUCCCCUAAUUUCAUACUUGCUUAUUUUCAUUUAGAAAGUGUUACACCCACAAGAAAAGAAUAAGUUUCUUUAUGGAAAUAAAAAUCUUAGGAACAAAUUAAUGAAAUACUCAAUUUUCUUAUAAAGACUUAUUUAUUUAUUUUAGAGACAGAGACAGAGAGUGCACAAGAAAGAGAAGGAGAAGCACAGGGAGAGGGACAAGCAGACUCCCCACUGAGUGCAGAGCCUGACUCAGAGCUGGGUUCCACAACCAUGGGAUCAUGACUUGAGCCAAAAUCAAGGUGUAGGCUUAACCGACUGCACCACCCAGGUGCCCCAAAAUACUUAAUUUUUUAAUGAACAAAAAUGUUUCCCUUCUCAAAAUGUAAACAUCCAGUAAAUAAAACAAACAUAAUAUUCAAUGUAUAAAAACACUAGUACUUUGCUUAUGAAAGAGAUGUAUGUAUUUGGUGGUAACGUUUCUUGUUUGUCUUAAAUAUAAAAGCACCUGCCAAAAGAAUCAGGCCAUUAUUAUUUAAAGUCUCCUCCUUCAUCCAUUUCCUUAUCUGAGUAGAAAUUCAUCCAUUUCUGUAGAAUUUUGGCUAUAGGACCAGUCCACAGGAAAGGUCUGAAAUAUCUAAAAGUAAUUUGGCUAGAGAAGUUUUUCUUGAGACUUGGAGGUAGUCACUCAUCACUUUAUGCUUAAAAGCAUUCCUCAGCAAACUUUUCCCCAGCUUUUAGGAUAAAGCACAGGAUCGGGGCUCCUGGAAGAUGUUUCUUCCAGCUGGAACACCUACCAGCAGAGCAUCUUUACAGGCACUCUGCAUGCUGUACUGUUGAAGCUCUGCAGCUGUCUACAAGACCUUGAUCCUCUCCAUGCCGGCCUCCAGCUUGAGCAGCUUCACCAGGCGCUGCAGGGCAUUCACACUGGCCCCAGAAGACAUGGCAGUGGCAUGGGGCUCCAAGGGCCUGUAUACCAGACUUCUAUAAAAAACUACUAAACUUUGUUGAGAGACAUUAAAGGAUGCUUUAAGAAAUGCAGAGGUAUACUAUAUUCAUGGAUGGAUGAGUCCUCAUUGUAAAUAAAGAUGUCAUUUUCAGACAUUUACAUAUGGAUUCAAUGCAUUCCCAUCAAAAUCCCAACACAUUAUUGCAUGUAGGAUUUGAUAAGCUUAUUGUAAAUUUCAGGAGAGUGCAAUAAGAAUAAGAAUAAAAACAAAGUGAAGGAAUUGCCCUACCAGGAAUUAUGACUUACCUUAAAAUCAUAGUAAUCCAGACAGUGUGUCAUUGGCACAGAUGUAGAGAAAUAGAUCAGUGAAACAGAAGAGAGAGCCCAUGAACAGAUCCAAAAUAAAACCUUUAAAACAAACAAGUUGCCUUAGUCUUUUGUAUGAAAGAGGAGAGUAGAGACAUUGGAAUGGAGUAGGAGACAACUGAGACCAAUUUUUAUCCUUUUACUGAGGAGGAAAAAAAUAUUUAAUUUUUUUGUUGUAUAAGGAAUACUGCCUACAGAUUACCUAUAACAGUUGCCUGGCAGUUGAUUUGUCUUGUUCUGUUUUUCCUUUAUAACAAUUGAUAACAUUCUUCUCUCUCUCUUUUUUUUAGGUUUUAUUUAUUCAUGAGAGACACAGAGAGAGGCAGAGACACAGGCAGAGGGAGAGGCAGCCUCCCUGCAGAGAGCCUGAUGUGGGGGACUCCAUCCCAGGACCCCGGAAUCAUGACCUGAGCCAAAGGCAGAUGCUCAACCGCUAAGACACCCAGGCUCCCCAAUAACAUUCUUAUUAUUUCAUUUAUAAUUUAUAAUUACUUAUGUAUGCUUACCCAACAGAAAGUGUGCCCUUGAGGGCAAGGCCUGAGUUUUUACAAUUGACCCAGUAGAGCAGAGUGCCUGACGCAUUGUAGAUACUCAAUUAAAAGUCCCUUGGAAGAGCAGACUCUAGAUGAAUGGAUAGAUAGACAGGUGGACAGAUAGAGCUCUUAAUGGUUGCAGGUGUCUCAGAGGAUUUUAUUUUCAGAAUGAGUGAAGAGAUGUUUAAAGCCAAACAUGUGAAUGGAGUGGGUUUAUACGUGUAAAUGUGCUAGUAUGGUAAAAACAGAUGAAAGCAUAUUUAGUGAUUUAGUGAGUGGGACAGCGCAUACUGUAUUUUGAAUACUCAGUGAUGUGCCCAUCUAAUUAUGCUGCAAGGACUUGCUUCUGGGACUUGCCAGCCACACAGAGCCUGCUGCUUCCUUGCACAGCUUUGGGGCAAUUACUCACUUUGUGUUUUAGGUAAAUAGGGCUCCCAGAGUGGUGUGCGAUGAGGAGGCUCAGAACUGGUCUCUGCUGGGGAGGCUGCAGAGCAAAGGGCAC
This 3696-nucleotide long non-coding RNA is filed under the name Canis lupus familiaris (dog). Its description in RNAcentral is "lncRNA (ENSCAFG00845028153.1)". Lineage: Eukaryota; Metazoa; Chordata; Mammalia; Carnivora; Canidae. The record is from RNAcentral.